This 1258-nucleotide unclassified non-coding RNA is filed under the name Stylophora pistillata. RNAcentral describes it as "transmembrane protein 198-like, transcript variant X3". Lineage: Eukaryota; Metazoa; Cnidaria; Anthozoa; Scleractinia; Pocilloporidae. The record is from RNAcentral.
GGUAGGGUAACCCUACCUGUGAAAUUUUGCUUGUAAACCCGGGCAAUCUUUGACCCGCCAGCUAGGGUAGCCCUAACACAAAGGUUACCCUCCUUGCUUGUAAACAGGGCCUAACGCUCUUUGGAGUCUGAGUAAGAGUGGUAGUGUGCCUCAGGGCUCCCCGAGAUAAUAACCGUAUCAUUUAACGACAUUCUUUCCGCUGUACAUCUAAGUGCUUGAGUUACUCGAAGCCGUCAAGGUAUUCAAAAUGCAUUUAGCAGCAUAUUCUCCUACCUUACCUACGAUGACCGUGGAACCAGACGCUGAUGGCUGCAAGCUGCAUAAUUCUUACGACUCACAAAGCUGCAUUGUUGCUGCAACUGGUAUUCUUCUGGGAUCGAUCAUUUGUUUCUUUGGAUACCGGAUAUUCAAGUUUAUGCUCUUCUUAGCUGGUUUCCUAACAGGAUUUUUCUUCACUUAUAUGUUUUGUUCUGGAUAUCUCGUGAAAUACCUGUCUGAGAAAGCUCUGGAGCACCAAGAUCAGAUUUUUCUUGGUGCCUCAGUUGCUGUUGGGAUCAUUGCUGGGUUAUUGACACUGUGUAUUUUUUAUCUGGGCCUUUUUUUACUUGGUGCAACCAUGGGAUGGUUUGUGGGCAUGGUUUGUCUGCCAUUUCUCUAUAAGCAGUCAGAGUACCUGUCUGAACACACCUGGCUGCCUUACAUUGUUCUUUGUGCUUUUGCCAUUGCUGGAGGAAUCCUUAUUCUCUGCAUACAGAAGGUGGUAACUGUGAUAGCCUCUGCAUUCCUGGGUGCAUUUGGUUGUAUUAAUGGCCUUGACUACUUUGUGGAGAACAGCAAAUCACUGUACUACUCGGUCAACAUUCUGCAAGGCCACUUUGACAAGUCAGCUUUGCCCACUUGUUGGUACACAUGGUUGAUUUUGUGUCUUAUCCCGCUAAUGUUCAUUGGUGGAUUGGCAGUGCAGCUUGGCAUCACUGGAAAAGGCAGAGAUCAUAGAGCAGACAGAAAGUCAGAGACUGUUAGAAAACCAUUGCUGGCCAAAUUUCCAGUUAAUUGAGGAAGACAGUGCUCAGAAAUGGGGGAGGACAGUCAAACUUCACUUGCAGAUUAGUAAUAAACCAGAGAGACAGUCAAGCAGACAGGUACACAGAUAUACAAACAAAUAGAUGGACAGAACAUCACAUAAUUGUGAAGCUUAUGGUAGACGAUCUCACGUGGGGACCUUUAUGCCGCUCCCAUGAGAAAUCAUGCAGAUGAG